UUUAUGAUUCCUCUAUUUAGAAAAAGACUAGAGUUUCCUAUAUUUUGAAGAGAAAUAAGAGCACCUGAAAAAAGGACUUACUCCAGUGCCGUCUAUAUCCAGCCUGGCUUUCUCUGAGCUGCACGGGGAAGAAAUAUUUCCAAGGCACCAGUGGUUGCCAUAUCCUGUAUGCAAAAAGAUUCCAUAAAUGUCUGAAAACAGAUGGAAUGCAACUUUGGAGGAAUAAAUGGAUUUUUAAUUUUCUGAACAUUUUGGAUUCCAUCUGGUUGAAGUAACUAAGUGACCUAGUAGAAUACUUUUACCUUUCUUGUAUAAUAGACGGAAACACAGCUUGCACUGCUAUUGACUGACACAUUCCCCAUUAAUACACAGGUUUUACUUGCUUAUACAUUUGCUUACUUUUAACUCUUUUGACUGCACAGCAAGGAAUACCUGAUGCACCUCUUCCUGCGUAUCAGAUCUAAAUGUUGGCCCUCUCUCAACUCAUGAUUUGGCUUUGCAGCUAGUGAGGAGGAACUCUAAACCACUUGCCUAAGCCCACCUAACAGUAGUGGGAGAUACUGCACCUUAGACUAACAUACCUUACACAUACAUUAGAUAACAAACCUUAGACUUAUCUCCUUAAAGAAAACUCAUAAUUUUCUGUCUUGUUUAAAGGCAAAGAAUAAAAAGAAAUGGAGACUUUGUGUACAGGUACCAGUAAAGUGGAUUAUUUCUGUUUAUUGCUCUUUUUGUUAUUGCCAUUUAGAAUGCUGUUAAACAAGUAAGAGUAAAUACAUGUGUGUUUUUAACAGGAAAUGAGUUUUUCUCUAUGAAUAGGAAAUACAGGCAACUUGAACUCACAAGAAAGAAGUCAUAAAGUGUAUUACUCUAUAUAAAAAACGGAAGAUCUCAGUUUAUGGAAAAGACACCAUUUUUGUGCCUGCCUCAGUGAAAACUGAAAUACAAAUCUGUUCACUCUCCUUGAAAGAAAAGGUUGUCUCCUGUCUGAAAAACGAAGAGUCAAAAAGUCCCGUGGCCUUUCCGCCCUUUACACUGAAAAGAAAAUGAACUGCCUGGUCAUAGGAUGAAUGUUGUCUUGGGUCACCAUCAAGAUCCUGACCUGCCUAACUGAUGUGACACAGGGAAAGAGAUUGCCAAGUGAGAAAUUUCAAGGGGUCUACAAGUCAUUCAGGUGAAAGAACAACUUUCUGCUGUAUUUUUCAUAUUCUUCAGUGUCUGCUACUGUGACUGGGAGGAAUAUGGAACCAUCUCACCCCAUCACACCCUGUCCGUGAUGUGACAUCCUUGCACAUGUGGGA
Long non-coding RNA from Strigops habroptila (Kakapo), 1301 nucleotides. RefSeq lists it as uncharacterized. NCBI's taxonomy places the organism in Eukaryota, Metazoa, Chordata, Aves, Psittaciformes, Psittacidae. The transcript has 4 exons. The record is from RefSeq and is a predicted model, not a curated record.